CUAACCAUGAUAACCCAAAAGGUAAACAAGGAUAAGGUAAAUAGAAAGCUAGUCAAUCCUUAGGUUUCAAUUAAGUAAUGCGGGACAGUGAAUUAUAAGUAGAUAGGACAUAAUGGGUCAGAGGACACUUGCCUUCACCAAACAGAUGCUCAGAAUCUUCAAUCUUCAAUCUCGUAAAGCUCGAGGAGCUUGAUCACUUGGUCGACGAAGCUUGACUGUCGAUUCCUUGAAGCUUGGAGAUGGAUCGCAUUCUAAUCGCAACGCGAAGCGAAGACGAACAAACACAAGCAAGCAAACACAUAUAUGCAUAAGAACAUUACACCAUACAAAUACAAACAUAAUAAAACAUGCAAAACGAAAUAGAGUGCGUUACUACGGUCACGCAAGGAAAAAGAAACGCGAUUGUCAGGGCUACGGUCGAGAAGUCAUCGUAUUUACACUAAAUAAGUAUUAAUCGACAUAAUCAUAUUAAUUAUAACUACUAUUUAGUUUCGAUUAAUCUACUACACUAACAGAUGUCAGUUAAGUAAGUAAUUUAAUUAACACGAGAGAUUCUAAACGGGGCGAAAUUAACGACACACGACAAGAUGCGCGACGUGCAAAAUUAAUGAGCGAAUGACGCACAGCCACACGCGACAUAGCACGCUGACGACACACGAAACAGUGCGCGCGACCAGCAGGAACGACGCGUGAACCAGCACGUCACCACGUGCGGAACAGCACGCGCGAUGGCGAGAAAUAACUAAAUAGGCGACACAUUUAUAUUAAACAAAUAUUAAAUAAAUAAAAAGAAUUUAAGUAAACAUUAACUAUGUUAGUGUUAAUUAUCACAGCGCAAGUUGGAAACUAUUCAUAACCUAAUCGGAAUAUUAAUCUAAUCAACAUUAGUCGAGCAAAUAUUAAUUAAAAUAUGAGACCUGACAAAUUAACGUUAUUAACGUGAAUGCUUAUAAGUGCAAACAAUUUAUUAUCACGAGUAGACGCUGUGCGACACACGUGAUCGACACACGAGAUACGCGCGACAGGCGCGAGCAACGCGCGGCGAGGCGCACGACACACGCGAACGGCGCGCGACAACGUGUGUGAACAGCACGCGUGACACUCGCGAACGACACGCGACGACCCGUGCGAAACAGCACGAACCAGACACACGAACAACAUGACGACGACGAGCUCUACACGUGCGAACAACGCAUAGACAGUGCGACGACGCGCACAACACACGAAAGCCGCUAGCAGACAUCGUGUUUAUACUAAACACUUGUUAAUUAAAAUAUUUGAAUAGACAUUAAUCACAUUAACUUGUAUUUAUAAAGCGCUAAUAAAAUUAUAAAAUUAGUUCUAUUUAAAUUGUUAUCGAAUGAACAAAUCAUUCACUAAUUAAUUAAAACUUGUGUCGUGACAAAAGUAAUGCUACUAACACGCGGGAUAGACGAACGGGUUCGGGGGGUAGACGAGUGUCGUCUAGGGGUAGACAAACGUCGUCUAGGGGUAGAAAGAUGUCGUCGGGACCCCGACGACAUGCUACGCGUGCGCGAAACAAUGCGCGACACGCGCGAGCGACGCACGCGAUACGCGAUACUCGCUGAACCACAACGAGUUUAUAAUAAACAAGUAUUAAAUGAAAAACACUUAAGUGGGUAUUAAUCAAGUUAACUUUUAUUUAUAAAAGCGCGAGAUGAACUAUAAACUAGUUUUAAUUAGAAGGUCAUAAGUAUCGACUAAACCACUAAUUAAAUAAUUAAAACUUGUGACGUGGUAAAAUAACAUUAUUAAUACGAAAUCGACGCUGUCACGAAGUUGACACGACUAAAACGAGUUGUGUCGGGUUUACAACGGAAAUUAUAUUGAAUAAAUAGUGUUUAUCGAAUUUAAACUACGUGGUACAGUUCUAUUGGCUAACUCGAGGCCACACGAAGGGCUGCGGAAUCGUGGGCAUAGAAAAUCUGCCGAUCUAGUGCGCAUCACAUAACGGGAAAUGACAACAACCCCAUCAAUUGAGAGCCACCACGUGGCCAAGAUUGAGGAGGUGGAGGACGUUUCUCUCUAUUCUUCCUGUAACCGCAUAGACGUUCCUCUCUUUCUUCAACCUCCAUCCAUCCACCAUGGAAGCAGCAGCAAGGAGGCUCGGCUAAGGGAAGGGGAGGCUCGCAGCGGGAGAAGGAAGCGCAACACAGUGUUGCGGCAUGCCCUGGCCACGGGCGAGCAGAAUCCAAAGGGAGAGGGACAUGAAGUAGCAGCGCACGAUGGGGAAAAUAGGAGGCAGGGCCGGUGCGCUACCUAGGGCUCGGUGUCGCGCACGGAUGCACUCGCCAGGGCUAGGAGGCACAGCAGCCGUGGAGCAGCGGAGCAUGUGUGGGCUGCGUGCCUUGCCGCGAGUUUGUGAUACAUCUGCUACGGCGGCGCUGCAGUCAAUCGUGCAAAUAGAAACUAGAGAAAGAGAGAGGGGAGAGAUGAAUAAGGUACGUCUGACCUUGGGCGUAGGGCGGCGCUUCUCCGGCGAGUGGUAGUGCUCCAACGCGCGACGACGACGGCAGGAAGAGGCGGCGAGCGCAUCGCUACGAGGAAUGGUGAGGGACACGGAGCCACGACGGCGCGUGUCAACGACGACACACGACGA
This 2620-nucleotide long non-coding RNA is filed under the name Zea mays. RNAcentral's name for it is "long non-coding RNA (ZMAY_LNC005036)". Lineage: Eukaryota; Viridiplantae; Streptophyta; Magnoliopsida; Poales; Poaceae. The record is from RNAcentral.